GAAAGGGGUGCUAAUACCGAAUGAAUGUAAGAGUACCGCAUGAGACACUUACUAAAGGAGGCCUCUGAAAAUGCUUCCGCUUGAAGAUGAGCUUGCGUCUGAUUAGCUAGUUGGUGAGGGUAAAGGCCCACCAAGGCGACGAUCAGUAGCCGGUCUGAGAGGAUGAACGGCCACAUUGGGACUGAGACACGGCCCAGACUCCUACGGGAGGCAGCAGUGGGGAAUCUUCCGCAAUGGGCGAAAGCCUGACGGAGCAACGCCGCGUGAACGAUGAAGGUCUUAGGAUCGUAAAGUUCUGUUGUUAGGGACGAAGGGUAAGAAUCAUAAUAAGGUUUUUAUUUGACGGUACCUAACGAGGAAGCCACGGCUAACUACGUGCCAGCAGCCGCGGUAAUACGUAGGCGGCAAGCGUUGUCCGGAAUUAUUGGGCGUAAAGGGAGCGCAGGCGGGAAACUAAGCGGAUCUUAAAAGUGCGGGGCUCAACCCCGUGAUGGGGUCCGAACUGGUUUUCUUGAGUGCAGGAGAGGAAAGCGGAAUUCCCAGUGUAGCGGUGAAAUGCGUAGAUAUUGGGAAGAACACCAGUGGCGAAGGCGGCUUUCUGGACUGUAACUGACGCUGAGGCUC
This 624-nucleotide ribosomal RNA is filed under the name uncultured bacterium. Its description in RNAcentral is "bacterial SSU rRNA". It matches the Rfam family "Bacterial small subunit ribosomal RNA", at positions 153 to 754 of the family's 1533-position model. The record is from RNAcentral.